UCCAACUUGCUCCAGGUGUUCUUAAUUAUUUUCCAUUCCAUUUUAAUAUUGUUCCCAUUUAUAGAAGCAUUCUUAAAAUUGAUUUGAAGGAUUAUAGUAUACUUUGUGAUGUCAUGUUUUGUUGUCAUUAAAAUUAUUUUAGGGGUUAAUAAAAAUUUGAUUGAUCUAGUUAUAUUUUGUAGAAAAAUGAUUUAAACUAGAUCAGGCAUUGGUGGAGGGCAAGCCCCA
RNAcentral lists this long non-coding RNA (228 nucleotides) under Elaeis guineensis (African oil palm). RNAcentral describes it as "long non-coding RNA (EGUI_LNC010356)". Lineage: Eukaryota; Viridiplantae; Streptophyta; Magnoliopsida; Arecales; Arecaceae. The record is from RNAcentral.